RNAcentral lists this ribosomal RNA (465 nucleotides) under Vreelandella stevensii. RNAcentral's name for it is "partial 16S ribosomal RNA". It matches the Rfam family "Bacterial small subunit ribosomal RNA", at positions 338 to 795 of the family's 1533-position model. The record is from RNAcentral. Lineage: Bacteria; Pseudomonadati; Pseudomonadota; Gammaproteobacteria; Oceanospirillales; Halomonadaceae.
CCUACGGGUGGCUGCAGUGGGGAAUAUUGGACAAUGGGCGAAAGCCUGAUCCAGCCAUGCCGCGUGUGUGAAGAAGGCCUUCGGGUUGUAAAGCACUUUCAGUGGGGAAGAAAGCCUUGGGGCUAAUACCCUCGAGGAAGGACAUCACCCACAGAAGAAGCACCGGCUAACUCCGUGCCAGCAGCCGCGGUAAUACGGAGGGUGCGAGCGUUAAUCGGAAUUACUGGGCGUAAAGCGCGCGUAGGCGGUCUGAUAAGCCGGUUGUGAAAGCCCCGGGCUCAACCUGGGAACGGCAUCCGGAACUGUCAGGCUAGAGUGCAGGAGAGGAAGGUAGGAUUCCCGGUGUAGCGGUGAAAUGCGUAGAGAUCGGGAGGAAUACCAGUGGCGAAGGCGGCCUUCUGGACUGACACUGACGCUGAGGUGCGAAAGCGUGGGUAGCAAACAGGAUUAGAUACCCGAGUAGUC